This 1833-nucleotide long non-coding RNA is filed under the name Sus scrofa (pig). RNAcentral describes it as "lncRNA (ENSSSCG00040057424.1)". The record is from RNAcentral. Lineage: Eukaryota; Metazoa; Chordata; Mammalia; Artiodactyla; Suidae.
ACCAGAUCCUUAACCCACGAAGCGAGGCCAGGAUGGAACCUGUAUCCUCAUGGUUACUAGUUGAGUUCUUCACUUACUGAGCCACAACAGGAACUCCUGUGAUGAUAGUCUUUAAGGAGGGGGUCCCACAGUAUUUUGAGUGGCCACAGCAUGGGAGUCAGUAUGGACCCUCCACAGGUGGCCUCUACAGGUGACCGUUGCCACAGGGACCCUGUCCCACCACUAUAUCCAUUCUGGGGAAUUUUCAUCAUUGUGCUUGGGCAAGUUGUCACAUGACAAUUUAUGGACCACGGUGGCCUGUCAUGCAUUCUGUGAAUCCCCCGGGAAGACCUUACCAGAACUGGGGAGGGAAGGGGAUUUCCUAAAACCAUCAGAAACUAAGACAGACAACGUAACGGCAGAAUCUGAGGAGGACUGGGCUUCAGCUCACUGCACAUCCUGGCUUUGUUUCAGAAAAAGAGCCCUUUUGUAAAAGGAGGAAAGGCCUUUCCCGAGAGCAGCAUCUGGAAAUAGGCUGCUGUGCUCCUCUGAGCCCUGAGACUACUCUGGGGGCCGGCAGGACAUGCCCCCUCAUAGACGAGGGCAAUGUUUUGGAUCCAGAAAGAAGGCAAAGCUGAGAAAGAGCUGAAUAGGUCCUGUGUGUGUGUGUGUGUGUGUGUGUGGUACAUGUGUGCAUAUGUGUGUUGUCUGUUGUGUGUGCACACAUGUGUGUGUUGUGUGGUGUAUGUGUGUAUGGUAUGUUCAUACCGUGUGUGUGUGUGUGUGUGUGUGUGUGUGUGUGUGUGUGUGUGAUGGGUGCUGGGACAAUUCUAGCAGGAGAUAGGAGCUGCCACUGGUCAUCCUUCUCCUUUCACCUUCAGAGUCUGGGGGAACAAGUCAAUAAAGACAAGAGACAAAUGCUAUCAGCUGAAGAACCAAUGCUUUUCCCUCUCGAGGAGGAAAGACUUGUUCUCAAUGACUACACAAGACAAGAGGCUGUCUGUCAUUGGCCUUGAAUGCAUUUUCCCACGUUUGUCCUUUGUCUUUUAGAGUCUCUUUGUGGGCCUUUUGUUUGUUUUUGCCAUUGGAAAGCUUCCACUUGUACAUAGUUGAGGUUCUCAGUCUUCUGUGUGGGAUCACUGGCUGUCAUGACGUGCGCAGAAAGAUCUUCCACCCAUGGUUAUAAAAAUAUUUGUCCAGGAUCUCUUCUCCUCCUUAUGAAAUUUUGGGUUUUCCUUUAGAACCUUUAUUGGUUUUGGAAUUUAUUUAUUGUGUUUGGAAGUUAUUUUGUGUAAUGAAUGAAACAAGAGCCCUAUAAACCUUUCACACCAAUCUGUCCUUUUCUUUCACGCUAGUGCUAUUAUAGCUGAAGCAUACCGUCUGACUUUGGUUUUAAGAGCACAGCUGUGGAUGUGACUCUCCUUCCACACUCACCAUUGAUUUGAAAUACUGCCUUUUUAUCGUACAGUUGGAAUACUUUUAAAAAUGCUUCCUCCCACAAAUGCUAUAUGGAGGUUUUGGCCAGAGAUGGGAUGAUUUUCUAAAUUAUUUUGGAUGAGUGUAUAUUUGUAUUACACUAGACUGAAUAUUUCUGUCCAUGCACAAGGGGAUGCCUUUUCACUGAGUCAUGGUACUUCUAUUUCUUGAUAAUUUUGUUUUUUCCCCAUAAUUCAGAUUUAUUUGUAUAAUGUUUAUGUUUCUGUGCUUUUAAAAUGGAUUAGAUUAGGGUUAUAUUUCUAAUACAUUAUAAGAUGUGAAAACUUUCUCAACUCUCUUUUUCUCUUUUCAACACUUUUGUGCUGAAUUUUAGGCUUUCUGUUAUCUGCAAAUAAAGAUAAUUUUUGUCUUCUUUGU